UAAAACAACAUUCUGGCAAUAAGAUCAGAGUUUGCCCUACAUGCUUACAAUGUUGUAGGUACCUAUUCAUUCAUUCAUACAGAAUCAUUUAUUGAGUUUCUUCUAUUUUCCAGUUUCUCUCUAGGUAUUGAGAGAUCGAUGCUAUACAAAUCCUGCCCUCAGAGUUCUGAUCAUCUGUUCAAAAUAAUUUUGCUUCUAAGACUCUACCUCUUUGAGAAAAGAUGGUUGCACAUACCGUUUUACGGAGUGCCUGCAGUAAUUCUGUGCCCUCUGAGGAAUCUGGUGCUUGCGGUUUGGGACUAUCGCCAUGCUAGAUUUCAUGUAUGUUUCAUGUACUGCACCUGACCUGACGCCUCAGUGUUGCCAACAGAAGACUGUGCAGCCGUUUGGUAGUGAGUCUGGGUCAUGAAUUGUUAAGCAGAUGCAAAAAUAAUAAUAGCUAGCCUUUAUCUCGUGCUUGUUACGUGCCAGAUAUUUGACGUACGUUGGCCCACUUAACCCCCACGACACCGUGAGAGCGGUAACUGUCACAUAGCUAGGAAGUUUGGGGAAAGUUGACAUUAGAUCACAGGCAACCUAGCCCACCUCUUCAUCACCGUACAAGACUGCCUCUCAGAAGCAUGGGUCGUCAGAUGCCGGGCGCCGGGGAAAAGACAAAGGCAUGUUAUAGUUCCAUUUAAGCCACUUCGAAUCCAUUUGGAAGGGAGGCAAUAUGUAAGAGUCCCGGAACCCCAGGUAGGGUCAGAGACACGUGCCAUCAGAAUUAGGAACUAAAGUUGAAGGCAGAAUGCAGGACAGCAUCUAGAAAUCUGUGAUUAAAGGGAUCCAAAAAGAUUGCUGAUUGUAGAAAAUCCAAAGAGAUGGUUAACAAUUGUUCAUUGUUGCUCUAACAUUUGAGCCUAUGCCUUCGAAAAUCAAGUGCCUUCAAAAAUAUGCCUAACUCUUCACACACUUUACUUAAUCCUCACAACGGCCCGAGGGGGCUGGUGAUAUUUUGGCCUAUUUUGCAGAUGACAAAACUGAGGCCAUAAUGAAAAACUAACUUAGGCAAGAUCAUGCAACUAUGUAAGUUGCACAACUGGAUUCAGCCUAAUUAAAAAAAAAUUUUUUUAAUGUUUAUUUAUUUGAGAGAGAGAGAGCAAGCGAGGGGCAGAGAGAGAAGGAGAGAGAGAAUCCCAAGCAGGCUCUGCGUAGUCAGUGUAGAGCCGGAUGCGGGGCUGGAACUCACGAACCGCGAGAUCAUGACCUGAGCCGAAAUCAAGAGUCGGAUGCUUAACUGACUGGACCACCCAGCGCUCCUUGCCUAAUGUUUUUAGACUUCAAAACCUACACAGUACCGUAGCAU
This 1345-nucleotide long non-coding RNA is filed under the name Felis catus (domestic cat). Its description in RNAcentral is "lncRNA (ENSFCAG00000049292.1)". The record is from RNAcentral. Lineage: Eukaryota; Metazoa; Chordata; Mammalia; Carnivora; Felidae.